Molecule: non-coding RNA, 29 nt
Filed under: Mus musculus (house mouse)
Lineage: Eukaryota; Metazoa; Chordata; Mammalia; Rodentia; Muridae
Source: RNAcentral
UGCAACUUAGGUGCCGGUCUCCUCCGUUC